UUUUUGAUUAUAUGUAAAAGUUAUAAUAAAAAAAAUGUUAAAAUGGCCUUUUUGUUGCUGGUUUUGUCAAGUCUUAAGUGUUAGGAUAGCUAGGUAGUUGUUGAAUGUGGUUUCUAAUUUCCCCUUGUGCUUAUGUCUGUGGGAUGGUUGCGUGAUGUGUUGGUGUGGCUUGUGGAAGGCUGCUGAUAAAAUUAAAAUUAAUUUAUUUAAAGCCAGAGAAAUGUAAAGAAAAAAGAAGUAACGGUUGUUGUAACGGCCGUUGGGAGCAGGCCUUGUUGUUAUGACGCCAGUGGCCAGCGGAUGACGCCCACGCAUGUGUAGUGACGUGUUCUCCCAGCUUGUUAGCUUUGUUAUCUUUGGCUUGGUGGCAGCUUUCUGUCUUACUCUGACAUCAGGUUGGUAUAUGUUACUUCUUAUAUAUACAUUUAUGAUGUUUUUCUAGUAUGGUGUAUUUCCAAUUUUGAAAAAUAUAUCUAACAAAUGAUUCAAAAUUAUUUUUGAUUAAUGUGUUUUUUUUUUAAUUCUAUUAAAUAUAUUAUCUAUUUUUAAUUCCUUCUCAAAUAAUACACGCUGAUUGAUAACAAUAUUUUGUAGCCACAAAUCAACAAUUUUAAAUAAUAUUAUCAUUAUUUACAUGAGACAAGAAAAUGUGCAAUGCUUCAAAUCCUUAAAAGUUGCUUUAUGUUCUAGAAAGUAACAACUCUCUAAUGGGAUUUUCUGUUUAGAGGGUGCUUUGUGCAACAUCUUUUCAUCAUAAAAACAUAAAACUAAAAAAUAUCUCAAGGUUCCUAAUUGAACAUUUGAUUUUUAGAUAAAUCUAGAAUACUCGAGUAUUUAAUAUAUUAUUUAGAAUACAUCAAACUAUUCGAAUUAAUAAAAUAUUCAUUUUUAAUAUCAUAAAUAGAUUGUUAUUCGAAUAAAUUUCCUUUUAAUCACUCGAACAACUAAAGCAAUUCCUUCACAAUUUUCUCUGACAAUAUCAAAAUAUUUAAAAAUGUAUCAAACUUAUUUAUCAUUUAUUUUAAACCACAAUAAUUGUGAAUAAUAUAUAUUGCAAUAUAUAGCAAAUUUAUCACAUUUAUUCAUUUUUAGUAGUUUGCUAGGGAACUUGAACAGCAUAUAUUAUGAAUCAAAUUUGCAUAUAAAAUUAAACAAGUUAUUAGUAUUACAACAAUAUUAUUUGAAUUACCAAAUUUGUCAAGGGGGAGAAAAAAACCUUGUAAAGGCAUUUUCUCUUUCCUUUUAAUUAAUACUUGUAUUUAUACAGCAUUUCGGUAAACAAGAAUAUACUAAAUUUAUAUAUAAAUAUAUAUCUAUAUAUCUUGAAGAAGGAAUAAAAGUUCAUGGUGACGAGUUUCUUUUAUUUGUGCUGUAUUAUCGGCAAGCCUUCAGACUAUAAUGUCCUUCAACAGGCAACCUUUCUUUCAACUUUCAAAAGUUGCCUGUUAAAGGACGUCAUAGUCCGAAAGCUUGCCAAUUAUACAGCACAAAUAAAGGAAACUUGUCAGCUAUUCCUUUUCUUGUAAUAUCUAUAUAUCAUUCAUAAUAAUUUUAAAUGUAUAUCUAUAUAUAUAAAAAUGGAUGUUUGUUGGUCCGUCCGUCCGUCCGUUUGUCAGUGAUAAUCUUCUACAUCGCUCAACCAAUCGUGAUGAAACUUUGGGAAGAUGUUUAGUAUACUACCGGGAUGGUUUAUGGCUAAUUACUCUUUAGAAAUAACCUUUCGUUGCAUUUUUAUUUACAAUAAAACGUAAAUUCACUCGCAAUCUGCACCCCUCUCGCGGCAGACGGGGGAUGGCGGCGCGCGACGAUUGGCUGCCGCCGCAGCACGUGACCUCCCUGCCUCCCCCCGCCGAGUAAAUGAGAUCUCCCGGCCGACGGCCGAGCAGCGCCCUCUAGAACGCGUUACGAUUUUGACGGCGCGGGGCGCUCCCGGUUGGACAGUUGCGCGGGGGCAGAGUGACCUCGCGGGUGCCCUCCGGGAACUACGUCCAUCUUCCAUAUGUAAUAUACAUUUAAUCGUGUAAACCCGGGCGUUGCCCGGGUCAUUCGUCUACAAAUUCGCAGUAGUUCACUAAUUCAAACCAAAAUAUCCAUACAUAGGUAAAAUAAUACUGGGAAGACUGACAUUUAUUAAUGCAGUGAUUAUAAUCAAUGAUUACAAUGAAGGGCUAUAUUGUCUAUAUAUAUAUAAAUCACUUUCAAAUAUUAACGUAACGUUCCAUUCUCAAUCCCGUUGGGCUUUAGAUCGGCUAAAACAUUUAAUUCUUUAUUAGUGAAUAUUAACUUUACUGUACUGAAUAGUUUAGUAUAAUGUUAAUUCAACAUAUUACAAUUUAGCCACUGCAACGCGUGGCCGGGUUCGCUGUGUAGUAUACUAUCAGGACGAUUUCUGGCGAAUUAUUUUAGAAUAAUAUUUAUAGCAAUAAAUAUAGCGCAAUUAAGACGUAGUGAUUAUAUUCUGUGUUUGUGCAUAUAUAAAUAUUUUACAGAAAAUGUCAGAACGUUCUAUUAGAAUAUCUCGAAAACAAAAAACAAUACAUAUAAUAACAUAUACAAUAUACAAUACAUAUAUAUUUUAUCUUUAUAAGUGAAUAUUGACUUUACUGUACUGAAUAGUUUAGUAUAAUGUUAAUUUAACAUAUUACAAUUUAGCCACAGCAAGGCGUGGCCGGGUCCGCUAGUAUCGUAUAUUUUUUAAAACUGUAUAAUAAUGUCACUUUUAGUAUAUGUCACAUAUCUCCCAAUUGGUUGGAGCCGAUGCCUUGAAAUAUCCUACCCAUCUUUUAAAAUGUGCACCGUUUAUAUUUGCUACCACCCCCAUAUUUUGUAUAUAUGCUAUAUCUUUAUUAAUAUAACCUGUACACCCUUUUUGUAUAUAAACUAAAAUUGGUGACGCCAAAAUAAAGAUCCAAAGAUAGAGCGGUCAGCUGGUGGCAGCAGGGACAGAGGAGUGGAAAAAGGCAACGCCCAGCCCAUGUGGGGUCCCGAGGGACAUUCUUAUAGAGACCCCCCUGUAAACAGGACAAGUUUUGGCAGGGGGUCGGCAGAUGUUCUAGGGGGUAUUUCUCGGCAGUCCGCUUCAGGCUAUCUCUCUCACACACUCGCUCUCUCCAUGUCUCGGUAAUAAGCAUCCAAGUUUGUGUCAUGGCCUCUACCUCUGUCCGGUGGGCUGUCCCCGAUCACCCUCGGUGUUAACAUCAAGCCCUGCUUCUUGCUGUCAGCGUGUGGGAAGAUCACCAACACUCGCCUCACGUACACGACUGCCAGUUCAUCCAUACAUCGACAUUUGCAACAAUAUUACAUAUAUAUCCAUCACUAUAAAUCCAAUUUGUGAAUUAUAUUAUAAAAAAUUAUAGGUAAAAUGCUCUAUAUUUUAUCAUAUGAAUGUAACAAAGCUUCAUAUAAAUGCAAAACCUAUAUUUUGUAUGUAUUUUAACAGAAAUGAAUGUGUAAAAACAGGUCCACCAUGUGCUAACACCACUAAGAUUGAAAAUGUAAUGAACGAUUGGGAAAUUUGCAAGACUCGAUUUAAUUAUGAUAUAAUAGUAAGUAUAUAACAGAGUUUAUACCUCAUUGUAGAUUAUAAUCUUAAUAUUAUAAAUAUGUUGUGUGUGACACAAUAUUAGAAUAAAUACACAAUAAUAUAUCAAAACCCAAUACCUUUAUUGAUAGAAUGUCCAAUCUUACACAGCUACAGAAGUAAUGAUUUGUAUCACAUCGAAGAAAGGUGAGAAUUUGUAUAUAACAAAGACUUCCAUGUAAAAUUCAAUAAUUUUUGUGAUUUCAAUUUAUAUUUUCUUUUCUGUUUCAAUUUUGUUUUUAGUCUCUCUUGUUUAUUGAAUUGAAUAUAAAGUGAUUUGUAUAUAAGCUGCUAAAAUGUAUUGAGGCAAAAGUAGCCCAAGCUGGGAUAUUGCGUCCAAUAUGUCAAAUAAAAUAAAAUAAAUACACAAUAAUAUCAGAUAUUUAAUAUUUUAUAUUUAUAGUUCAUUGUUCAAUAUAUAAUAGAUUAUUUACCUAUGCAACAUAAUUAUAGUGUAAAAGCUCCUAAGUGUAGAUACAAUUCAAAAUGCCAGUUUGACCAUCAUGUAAUACAAAAUAGGAUAUUGAAGUUUGAUUGAGAGUCCAUCGCGUCAUAGAAAUUAAAAAGAGUCUCCAUUUAUUUCUAAAUAUAUUUUCAAAAAUAUAAUUUUUCAAUAAUAAAUGAGAACAAUAUAAUUGUUACACCUUAAAAUUUCAAACUACAUUUUAAACAGACAUAGUAAUUAGACGAAAAACAAGGUGAAGGAAGACGAGUUUCUUUUAUUGAUGAUAAAAGAAACUCAUCUUCCUUCACCAUGUUUUUCAUCUAAUUUCAAUCCAGGAAGAAUUCUCUAUCUAUAGACAUAGUAAUAAUUAGCCUGCUUAUCUAUUUUUCUAAAAUCAGUCAUGUGGAGCUUCAAUUUUUAUUGUCACACUAUCCAUUUUACAUAUUCUAUUAAGAGAUAUGUUUGAUUAUAAAACUGAGUGGAAAUAACAGAAAAUUUUAUAAACAAAGAGAGAAAAUAUAAUUGCAUGAUGCAAAUACUAUUUGGGAUGUCGCACAAACAAUAAAACACUCGAAUAUACUCCUAACAAAAAAUAUUUUAUGUGUGAAACUCCAGUUCAAUUUUAAAAAUAACUUAAUGAAUGUCCAGCUUAAUUGAGAAAUUAAUUUAAAUUUUUGAAAAUAUUCAUGUUUAUAAAAUUUUUGCAGGCUCCCUUUCCAUCUUGUGUUGUAUUAUGUGGACCCAAAGGAUGUGUAGUGCGACCUGAUGGAGCCCGUUGCCGUUUAGUGGUAAGAAAGUUCUCAAAUAAAACAACGUUGUAAAUAAUUUUAAAAAUUAUUUGUUUUAGUCCCGUUGCUGCAAAGGAGUCUGUCUACUCCCUUUCCUCCCCUGUAACAAAUAAUUUUUAGUGAAACACACAAAUAAAUAUCAAUGUUUUGAAUUGCAACUCCGACAUGUUCAUUUUAAUAACUUUUGGUACCGGUAUAGAAACAUUCUUGUCAAUAAACCUCUUUGUUUGUUUCGAGUUUUUUGUCUGCUGACCAAUUUUGAAAGGGAAAUAUAUAUUUUGAGAACUUGAUGGAGCAAGAAGGUCCUUUUCUGAAAAUUAUAGCAAUAUAAAUAUAUAUUCCCAGAAAAAUAAAAUUUUCAGUCCUGUUGCUGUAAAGGAGUUAGUUCUCUACCUUAUUUUAUCUUUUGCAACUAAGAAUUAAAAUAUCUUUUAGUGUCGAGCACAAAUAAAUAUCAAUGGUGUAAAUAAAUAUUUAUAAUAUUUAUUAUACGAAUAUAUAUUAUUAUUUAAUUAAAAAGGCAUAUUUUGGAUCAAAAUAUUAUUUAUUUUACCGAUAUUUUAGUUGGCUGAGCGCCAACCUUUAUUAAGGUGUUAUUACAUAUUUAAUGUUUGUCAACAACGUUGUUAUUAAUAAUAUUUUGAUUCAAUAUAUGCCUUUUUAAUUAAAGAUUUAUUUAUGGAUUGCUCUAUUUUCAAAAAUAUCAUUAUUUGAAGAUAAAUAAUAAACCCCAAAUGGUUUCCGAGGGUGAGUUCCCUGUUUUAUAUUCAUUUCAAACUUUUUAGUUUCACAAAUCCUUCUUCAGGUGUUUAUUAUAUAUCACUAUGAAUCAUUUAACACACAGGAGUUUUUUUAAUCGCAUAUACGUGUUUUUGAUACCCGAAAUCUUGAGAUGAAUAUAAAAUAAAACAGAAACAAUUUAGGUAGCUAUUUUGCUUAUUAUUUAUAUAUAUUGUGGGGAAUUUUAUUUUUCCGAAAAUAUUUUGUUGAAGAUUGUCAAAAAUGGAAACAGUUCAAUUAAAAUCACAAACUCGAUGGAAGGCUUUAUAACAUUUACAUCCCAUGUAGCCAAUAAGGAAAUAACGAGAGUAAUAAGGUAUUAAUAACUCUAUAGUUUUUCAAACAUCCGCACAAUAUAGGAGCAGCAAGAAUCAUUAGAUAAAUUGAAUGGAUUUACUCUAAACAACAUAUAAUAUUUAGAUAAUAAAAAAUCAUAUAUUGGAUAUUGACUAAAAAGACUUAUUUGACAAUAUUUUGGUUGGCGAAUGUCAAACUCUGUCGAGGCAUUGCAUUUUGUAUUGGCAAAUAAAUCUUCGAAUACAAUACAAUAUGUCUUUUAUUAUCUACAAAAUGAAAAUUGAAUUGCGCAAUUUUCAUAACAUUUAUUAAGUAAAACCUAUAGGUAUAGCUAGCUAUCUUUUAUUUCAAAAAUGAUUCAUUUAACAUACAGCAAAACUUUGUAUGCUGAAAGAUAAUUUGAGCAUAGCAGACCAAAUAGUUAUAAUAUUCUAGUGUCAUAUGCGUAUAGUGAGUGGUAAUAAGCAAAUUGUAUAAUCAUUAAUUAUUGUAUCUUAAACUAUAGAUGCGAACAAAUUAACUGAGCAACGAUCAUUAUUAACAGCCGUACUUUUAAAUAUAAUAAUAUAAGGUCGUCCCAAAAGUUCGUAAACACUUGAAAAAAUUUGAAAUACCAAUAUUAUUUGCUGUUAUGUAUAAUUUCGUUGUAUUUUGUAUAAAGUAAUUGUAUUAUGUAUUAUUAUGAUUCGCCAAGUAAUAAGAAAACCAACAUUUUACGAAAAACACAAACUUUUAGGACAACCUUGUAGUAUUGCCUAAUUCACUAAUUUCUCUCCUCUUUAAAAUUAUAUCUAUUAUUAUAAUUUAAAAAGGGCAUUCCUGGAUUUGUAAAAAAAAAAAAAAACUUUUUUUUUCAGAAUAUUUCGAGGAAAUUCCUUCUCUCUAUCAAUUUAUUGUACAAUAAACUUAAAGGUAAUUUACAAAUUAUGGAUCGUCUCUUUUAACUCAAACUAUAUGUGCUCUAUCAGUACCUUUAUUACAAACAUUUAGAUUAAAGCAAAUAAUUCGAAUAUUGCUUGCUGAAAAUUUAUUUGAGAAUCUGAAAAGCCUUAAUCAACAAUCAUUCAUUAACAUUAACGAUUUAAUCUCUCGAAAUCUGGUUUGUUUUGAUAAGGAACAACAAAGUCCAAUGGCGAAAAAUGUCAUCAAAUCAUCAAUGGAAAUCUUUUAAUGGAGGUACUUAAUGCUAUUAUAAUUUAUAUCAGUCUUUUUAAUAAAUUGGAAAACAGGUUAAAAAUAUAUAUAGUUUUGAUUAAUUCAUAUUUACCUAAAUGUGCCUAUUGAUCCAAUAACGAUUUUACAUAUACACUCAUGGACAAAACUUGAGGAAGUUGUAUAUUUCAGCAUGUAUAUCAGAAUACAGACAAUAACUCCGAAAGAUACACUCAUGGACAAAUUUUAAGAAAGUUGUAUAUAUCAGCAGGUAUAUCAGGAUACAGACAAUAAUUCCGAAAUAUACACUCAUGAACAAAAUUAAGGAAGAUGUAUAUUUCAGUAUGUAUAUCAGGAUACAGACAAUAACUCUGAAAGAUACACUCAUGAACAAAAUUAAGGAAGAUGUAUAUUUCAGUAUGUAUAUCAGGAUACAGACAAUAACUACGAUAGAUACACUCAUGAACAAAAUUAUGGAAGUUGUAUAUUUCACAGCCUGUAUAUCAGGAUUCAGACAAUAACUCCGAAAGAUACACUCAUGGACAAAUUUUAAGAAAGUUGUAUAUAUCAGCAGGUAUAUCAGGAUACAGACAAUAACUCCGAAAUAUACACUCAUGAACAAAAUUAAGAAAGAUGUAUAUUUCAGCAUGUAUAUCAGGAUACAAACAAUAACUCUGAAAGAUAUUUGAUACACAGUGACUUUUAUUGGAGACAUACGAGAUGUGAAAAAAAUGUUUCUGUCUCCUUAAAAAAAAAUAAAGAAACAUCAACGACUUUCCA
Cordylochernes scorpioides is the source of this 7822-nucleotide non-coding RNA. NCBI's taxonomy places the organism in Eukaryota, Metazoa, Arthropoda, Arachnida, Pseudoscorpiones, Chernetidae. The record is from the annotation of a GenBank genome assembly.